RNAcentral lists this ribosomal RNA (191 nucleotides) under uncultured Bacillus sp. Its description in RNAcentral is "partial 16S ribosomal RNA". It matches the Rfam family "Bacterial small subunit ribosomal RNA", at positions 367 to 555 of the family's 1533-position model. Lineage: Bacteria; Bacillati; Bacillota; Bacilli; Caryophanales; Bacillaceae. The record is from RNAcentral.
CAUAAUGAGAUCUGACGGAGCACGCCGCGUGAGUGAUGAAGGCUUUCGGGUCGUAAAACUCUGUUGUUAGGGAAGAACAAGUGCUAGUUGAAUAAGCUGGCACCUUGACGGUACCUAACCAGAAAGCCACGGCUAACUACGUGCCAGCAGCCGCGGUAAUACGUAGGUGGCAAGCGUUAUCCGGAAUUAUG